RNAcentral lists this unclassified non-coding RNA (378 nucleotides) under plant metagenome. Its description in RNAcentral is "partial contains 5.8S ribosomal RNA, internal transcribed spacer 2, and large subunit ribosomal RNA". The stretch from base 1 to 105 matches the Rfam family "5.8S ribosomal RNA", at positions 50 to 154 of the family's 154-position model. The record is from RNAcentral.
GAAAUGCGAUAAGUAAUGUGAAUUGCAGAAUUCAGUGAAUCAUCGAAUCUUUGAACGCAUCUUGCGCUCCUUGGUAUUCCUUGGAGCAUGCCUGUUUGAGUAUCAUGAAAUCUUCAAAGUAAAUCUUUUGUUAACUCAAUUGGUUUCUACUUUGGUAUUGGAGGUCUUUGCAGCUUCACACCUGCUCCUCUUUGUUCAUUAGCUGGAUCUCAGUGUUAUGCUUGGUUCCACUCGGCGUGAUAAGUUAUCUAUCGCUGAGGACACUGUAAAAGGUGGCCAAGGUAAAUGCAGAUGAACCGCUUCUAAUAGUCCAUUGACUUGGACAAUACUUUUAUGAUCUGAUCUCAAAUCGGGUAGGACUACCCGCUGAACUUAAGC